Molecule: long non-coding RNA, 399 nt
Organism: Centruroides sculpturatus (bark scorpion)
Lineage: Eukaryota; Metazoa; Arthropoda; Arachnida; Scorpiones; Buthidae
Exons: 3
Source: RefSeq, a predicted model, not a curated record
GUACAUACGAUUGCUAAUUUAGGUAUUCUCAUGGAGUUUCUUCACCCGAACGGCACGUUCGCACUCGGCUUUAUUUUACCAGCGAAAGCCACAUUCAUUCACUUUUGACGGUCCUUCGUUACGGUGGAUUAAUAGACGAAAGUAAAGACGAACAGUGGCGAAGGGCAAUGGAGUAUGUCAGUGCCGUAUCCGAACUAAAUUAUAUGACACAGAUAGUAAUUAUGCUGUAUGAAGAUCCUACAAAAGACUGUACUUCAGAAGAACGUUUUCACGUUGAAUUACAUUUCAGUCCUGGCGUUGUUUGUUGCGUUCAGAAGAAUUUACCUCCUGGACCGGGAUUUAGACCUCAGUCGAGGAGUGGACCAGUAAGUAAAUAAGUUUCAUAUUCAUAGUUGAUUU